This 79-nucleotide transfer RNA is filed under the name Streptomyces djakartensis. RNAcentral's name for it is "tRNA-Arg". Lineage: Bacteria; Bacillati; Actinomycetota; Actinomycetes; Kitasatosporales; Streptomycetaceae. The record is from RNAcentral.
CCGGCGCGGCCGGACUUGGGUGCGGCGAGGUCGCUGCGGACGACCCGCUGCCAGCCGGGGCCGUCGCCCAGGCGCCGGU